AUAUUUAUUGGUACUCUCAAACUCCAACAAUUGUGCUUUGGUCUUAUUGAUCCUAUCAUAUCUUUGUUGUCAUGUCAUCAGUCCCUGUCCUUAUAUUAGAACCUGACUUUUAGAGGGGUCAGAAAAUGCUCACCUGAAGUCUGUUUCUCAGCACCACUUGCAGGUAUGUCUUAUAAACAUCAUUAUAGGCCUAAUCUAGAAGAAACUCCCAUGCAUGAUUCUUGAUGAUUUUUCCCCAUCUGCUUGCUGGAUAUCACUGCCCAGGAAACCAUGG
Choloepus didactylus (southern two-toed sloth) is the source of this 274-nucleotide long non-coding RNA. RefSeq lists it as uncharacterized. Lineage: Eukaryota; Metazoa; Chordata; Mammalia; Pilosa; Megalonychidae. The transcript has 3 exons. The record is from RefSeq and is a predicted model, not a curated record.